This 253-nucleotide ribosomal RNA is filed under the name uncultured bacterium. RNAcentral describes it as "partial 16S ribosomal RNA". It matches the Rfam family "Bacterial small subunit ribosomal RNA", at positions 524 to 776 of the family's 1533-position model. The record is from RNAcentral.
UACAGAGGGUGCAAGCGUUAAUCGGAAUUACUGGGCGUAAAGGGUGCGUAGGCGGAUUGUUAAGUUAGAUGUGAAAGACCAGGGCUUAACCUUGGGGUUGCAUAUAAUACUGGCGGUCUGGAGUAGAAGAGAGGGAAGUGGAAUUUCCGGUGUAGCGGUGAAAUGCGUAGAUAUCGGAAAGAACACCGGUGGCGAAGGCGGCUUCCUGGAUUCAUACUGACGCUGAGGCACGAAAGCAUGGGUAGCAAACAGG